RNAcentral lists this ribosomal RNA (305 nucleotides) under uncultured bacterium. RNAcentral describes it as "bacterial SSU rRNA". It matches the Rfam family "Bacterial small subunit ribosomal RNA", at positions 334 to 636 of the family's 1533-position model. The record is from RNAcentral.
UUCUCCUACGGGACGCAGCAGUGAGGAAUAUUGGUCAAUGGGCGGGAGCCUGAACCAGCCAAGCCGCGUGAAGGAAGAAGGCGCCAGGCGUCGUAAACUUCUUUUGUCGGGGAACAAAGGGCGCCACGUGUGGCGUUGUGAGUGUACCCGAAGAAAAAGCAUCGGCUAACUCCGUGCCAGCAGCCGCGGUAAUACGGAGGAUGCGAGCGUUAUCCGGAUUUAUUGGGUUUAAAGGGAGCGUAGGUGGAUUGUUAAGUCAGUUGUGAAAGUUUGCGGCUCAACCGUAAAAUUGCAGUUGAAACUGG